UAGGGAAUCUUCCGCAAUGGGCGAAAGCCUGACGGAGCAACGCCGCGUGAGUGAAGAAGGAUUUCGGUUCGUAAAGCUCUGUUGUUAGGGAAGAAUGAUUGUGUAGUAACUAUACACAGUAGAGACGGUACCUAACCAGAAAGCCACGGCUAACUACGUGCCAGCAGCCGCGGUAAUACGUAGGUGGCAAGCGUUGUCCGGAAUUAUUGGGCGUAAAGNNCGCGCAGGGGGUUUUGAAUNAAUGAGAUGUGAUGUGAAAGCCCACGGCUCAACCGUGGAGGGUCAUUGGAAACUGUUAAACUUGAGUGCAGGAGAGAAAAGUGGAAUUCCUAGUGUAGCGGUGAAAUGCGUAGAGAUUAGGAGGAAAACACACCCGCGNGAGGGAGGGGUUUUUGGCCUGUAACUGACACUGAGGCGCGAAAGCGUGGGGAGCAAACAGGAUUAGAUACCCUGGUAGUCCACGCCGUAAACGAUGAGUGCUAAGUGUUGGUCUCAUAAGAGAUCAGUGCUGCAGCUAACGCAUUAAGCACUCCGCCUGGGGAGUACGACCGCAAGGUUG
This 559-nucleotide ribosomal RNA is filed under the name uncultured bacterium. RNAcentral describes it as "bacterial SSU rRNA". It matches the Rfam family "Bacterial small subunit ribosomal RNA", at positions 355 to 896 of the family's 1533-position model. The record is from RNAcentral.